RNAcentral lists this ribosomal RNA (504 nucleotides) under uncultured bacterium. Its description in RNAcentral is "partial 16S ribosomal RNA". It matches the Rfam family "Bacterial small subunit ribosomal RNA", at positions 29 to 523 of the family's 1533-position model. The record is from RNAcentral.
AUUGAACGCUGGCGGCAGGCCUAACACAUGCAAGUCGGACGGUAGCACAGAGAGCUUGCUCUCGGGUGACGAGUGGCGGACAGGUGAGUAAUGUCUGGGGAUCUGCCCGAUAGAGGGGGAUAACCACUGGAAACGGUGGCUAAUACCGCAUAACGUCGCAAGACCAAAGAGGGGGACCUUCGGGCCUCUCACUAUCGGAUGAACCCAGAUGGGAUUAGCUAGUAGGCGGGGUAACGGCCCACCUAGGCGACGAUCCCUAGCUGGUCUGAGAGGAUGACCAGCCACACUGGAACUGAGACACGGUCCAGACUCCUACGGGAGGCAGCAGUGGGGAAUAUUGCACAAUGGGCGCAAGCCUGAUGCAGCCAUGCCGCGUGUAUGAAGAAGGCCCUCGGGUUGUAAAGUACUUUCAGCGGGGAGGAAGGCGAUGUGGUUAAUAACCGCAUUGAUUGACGUUACCCGCAGAAGAAGCACCGGCUAACUCCGUGCCAGCCGCCGCCGUAA